AUUGAACGCUGGCGGCAGGCCUAACACAUGCAAGUCGAGCGGUAGAGAGGUGCUUGCAUCUCUUGAGAGCGGCGGACGGGUGAGUAAUGCCUAGGAAUCUGCCUAGUGGUGGGGGAUAACGUUCGGAAACGGACGCUAAUACCGCAUACGUCCUACGGGAGAAAGCGGGGGGAUCUUCGGACCUCGCGCCAUUAGAUGAGCCUAGGUCGGAUUAGCUAGUUGGUGAGGUAAUGGCUCACCAAGGCGACGAUCCGUAACUGGUCUGAGAGGAUGAUCAGUCACACUGGAACUGAGACACGGUCCAGACUCCUACGGGAGCAGCAGUGGGAUAUGGACAAUGGGCAAAGCCUGAUCCAGCCAUGCCGCGUGUGUGAAG
This 376-nucleotide ribosomal RNA is filed under the name uncultured bacterium. RNAcentral describes it as "bacterial SSU rRNA". It matches the Rfam family "Bacterial small subunit ribosomal RNA", at positions 30 to 410 of the family's 1533-position model. The record is from RNAcentral.